UCCAGUCGCAGGGCUGUUGCUUUUCUGUCAAUCACAUGACGAACCAUUUUAAAGGGCUCACUCUGUGUGUUCAGUUUCAUUCUUAGACUGCGGCAAUGGCUGCCCAAGAGCAAAACAGAAGAGAAGAAAAUCUGAAAGCUCAACAAGGUUUCAGAGAAAAUGCUUUUAAGAUUAUCGUGAAGAUGCAAGGCUGGUCUAGCGUGACUCCUAAAAGUAAACACUUAGUGGAUGAGAUUCUUCACAGCAUCUUGUUUUUGGGUAAAAUCAACAGCAUCCCCUUUCCCCCAAAUGAAAUCAUCUCUGAUGGUGAUAUUUUGGAAGCCUUAAUGGCAAAAUAUCCCAGGCCUUUUCAAUUCUAUCUGACUC
This is a long non-coding RNA of Oreochromis niloticus (Nile tilapia), 366 nucleotides long. RefSeq lists it as uncharacterized. The transcript has 4 exons. The record is from RefSeq and is a predicted model, not a curated record. NCBI's taxonomy places the organism in Eukaryota, Metazoa, Chordata, Actinopteri, Cichliformes, Cichlidae.